GUUUGGUGUUUUUUUUUUUUUUGAAUGAAAAAUCUUUAUUUUAUCCAAAAAAAUAUUCUUAGUCCGGAAAUGUUCAUAAUCAGCAUUGAGGAAUGACAAAUAAAGAUUUGCAUAUUGAACAAUUCUGUAAAUGAUGCAAAGUUCUAGAAUCGAUGAUUUUAUGCCUUUGAUCAUGACAUAUUGACAUGUAUGUUCGCACAAAUGUGAAUGAGUUGGAAAUGUGACAUAACCAGUAUGUUCACAGCCACUAGACCCACUAGCUGGUGGGGUUCAAUUAAUGUAUGCAGUUUUAGGGAAAAAUAAUGCUGACCUGAAUUUUUGUGCUACAAUAUAGAAUACCUGGAUCACUGGUGCUAAACAUGUGCCUCUAUAGGGUAAACUCAUAAAACUGUUUCAUUCAUUGUUUUGCCCAUAGGAAAAUGGACUUGCAUGCUCAAUCAGGUUUUGAGCUAUUUUGGGUGAACUGAAUGGUGUGGAUUGUGACGUGUAGAAAUUUGAUUGAGGUUCAUGUGUUUUAAUAUGUCAGUAGAACACAUGGAAGCUUCAGCUUGUACAUAUUAGAAAAAUGACACAUGUUUCCAAGGUUUUGAUGGUUAGAUGUGGAACUGUUUGGA
This 614-nucleotide unclassified non-coding RNA is filed under the name Hevea brasiliensis (rubber tree). The record is from RNAcentral. Lineage: Eukaryota; Viridiplantae; Streptophyta; Magnoliopsida; Malpighiales; Euphorbiaceae.